ACUCCCUUUCAAUCAAGGAUCUUAUGCUUUUCCGGUGAACAAGGCUGCGUAGCCUAUGCUUUGCAAGCCUAUCACGCUCGACUGUCUUAAGCAGACAGUUUAUUCAUAAGGAAGAAUUGUCACACCCCAGAGAAGUCGAUCCUUUUGAUUAGGACAGAAUGAAUACAACUAAGUAAGAUAUGUAGACAGCCUUGACUUGAAAUAAGAGUUAGUCCUGCUGGUAAACACGUUACACUUAUUACUUCAGACCCUUAGUGGAAAGGAGCAAGGAGAGCAGCAGGUAAUUUAUUAAGGAAGCAAGAACUCUUAGGCAAGGAGGGGCGUAGCGCUUAUCGUUUAAAAGGGGAUUUUUCUUUCUCUAGAUUUUUGUCUUUCGAGAUUGGAAGUUAAUGGCAU
RNAcentral lists this long non-coding RNA (396 nucleotides) under Gossypium barbadense (sea-island cotton). RNAcentral describes it as "long non-coding RNA (GBAR_LNC018176)". The record is from RNAcentral. Lineage: Eukaryota; Viridiplantae; Streptophyta; Magnoliopsida; Malvales; Malvaceae.